RNAcentral lists this transfer RNA (74 nucleotides) under Nitzschia sp. IriIs04. RNAcentral describes it as "tRNA-Asp". It matches the Rfam family "tRNA". From Rfam's summary of the family: Transfer RNA (tRNA) molecules are approximately 80 nucleotides in length. Their secondary structure includes four short double-helical elements and three loops (D, anti-codon, and T loops). RNAcentral also lists the same sequence under 2 other names. The record is from RNAcentral. Lineage: Eukaryota; Bacillariophyta; Bacillariophyceae; Bacillariales; Bacillariaceae.
GAGAUUAUAGUUCAAUUGGUUAGAGCAUCGCCCUGUCACGGCGAAAGUUGCGAGUUCGAUUCUCGUUAAUCUCG